Molecule: ribosomal RNA, 429 nt
Filed under: uncultured archaeon
Lineage: Archaea
Description: bacterial SSU rRNA
Rfam family: Archaeal small subunit ribosomal RNA
Source: RNAcentral
UACCAGCUCUUCGAGUGGUGUGGAUGUUUAUUGGGCCUAAAGCAUCCGUAGCUGGCUGGGCAAGUCCCCUGUUAAACCCACCGAUUUAAUCGUUGGAGUGCGGGGGAUACUGUUCGGCUAGGGGACGGGAGAGGCAGACGGUAUUUUCGGGGUAGGGGUGAAAUCCUAUAAUCCCGGGAAGACCACCAGUGGCGAAGGCUGUCUGCUAGAACGCGCCCGUCGGUGAGGGAUGAAAGCUGGGGGAGCGAACCGGAUUAGAUACCCGGGUAGUCCCAGCUGUAAACGAUGCAGGCUAGGUGUUUGGGCGGCCACGUGCCGCUCUAGUGCCGCAGGGAAGCCGUUAAGCCUGCCGCCUGGGGAGUACGGCCGCAAGGCUGAAACUUAAAGGAAUUGGCGGGGGAGCACCACAAGGGGUGAAGCUUGCGGUUU